GCCUGGUUUGCUCAGUCAGUAGAGCAUGUGACUCUUGAUCUUAGGGUUGUUGAGUUCGAGCCCCACACUGGGUG
Molecule: transfer RNA, 74 nt
Filed under: Felis catus (domestic cat)
Lineage: Eukaryota; Metazoa; Chordata; Mammalia; Carnivora; Felidae
Rfam family: tRNA
About the family: Transfer RNA (tRNA) molecules are approximately 80 nucleotides in length. Their secondary structure includes four short double-helical elements and three loops (D, anti-codon, and T loops). Further hydrogen bonds mediate the characteristic L-shaped molecular structure. tRNAs have two regions of fundamental functional importance: the anti-codon, which is responsible for specific mRNA codon recognition, and the 3' end, to which the tRNAs corresponding amino acid is attached (by aminoacyl-tRNA synthetases). tRNAs cope with the degeneracy of the genetic code in two manners: having more than one tRNA (with a specific anti-codon) for a particular amino acid; and 'wobble' base-pairing, i.e. permitting non-standard base-pairing at the 3rd anti-codon position.
Source: Rfam by way of RNAcentral